Molecule: ribosomal RNA, 441 nt
Filed under: uncultured bacterium
Lineage: Bacteria
Description: partial 16S ribosomal RNA
Rfam family: Bacterial small subunit ribosomal RNA
Source: RNAcentral
CCUACGGGUGGCAGCAGUGGGGGAUAUUGCACAAUGGGGGAAACCCUGAUGCAGCGACGCCGCGUGAGUGAAGAAGUAUUUCGGUAUGUAAAGCUCUAUCAGCAGGGAAGAAAAAAGACGGUACCUGACUAAGAAGCCCCGGCUAACUACGUGCCAGCAGCCGCGGUAAUACGUAGGGGGCAAGCGUUAUCCGGAUUUACUGGGUGUAAAGGGAGCGUAGACGGCAAUACAAGUCGGAAGUGAAAUACACGGGCUCAACCUGGGAACUGCUUUGGAAACUGUAUGGCUAGAGUGCUGGAGAGGUAAGCGGAAUUCCUAGUGUAGCGGUGAAAUGCGUAGAUAUUAGGAGGAACACCAGUGGCGAAGGCGGCUUACUGGACAGUAACUGACGUUGAGGCUCGAAAGCGUGGGGAGCAAACAGGAUUAGAUACCCUAGUAGUC